RNAcentral lists this non-coding RNA (51 nucleotides) under unclassified sequences. RNAcentral's name for it is "DUF2693-FD RNA". It matches the Rfam family "DUF2693-FD RNA". From Rfam's summary of the family: DUF2693-FD RNA is a non-coding RNA (ncRNA) recognised in Bacteroides by a bioinformatic analisis by Zasha Weinberg. No recognised genes. The record is from Rfam by way of RNAcentral.
GCCCUAUUGACAGCUUGAAACUGGCAACUGAUAGUGAGAAUCAGAUAGGGC